Small nucleolar RNA from Acanthochromis polyacanthus (spiny chromis), 79 nucleotides. NCBI's taxonomy places the organism in Eukaryota, Metazoa, Chordata, Actinopteri, Pomacentridae. The record is from Ensembl.
GUUGUAGAUAUGAUGAGCUUGUCAUGUCUCUUCUCUGACUAACACUGGAGAAAGAUUCAACCUCUCUGAUCUCAGCACC